GUGUCCGCGUUGUAAUUUUGUGAGGCAUCUCCGGGUAGGGCGCCGGCCUAAGUUCCUUGGAACAGGACGUCACAGAGGGUGAGAAUCCCGUGCUUGGCUGGCUGUCCCCGUCCAUGUGAGGUGUCUUCGACGAGUCGAGUUGUUUGGGAAUGCAGCUCAAAAUGGGUGGUAAAUUUCAUCUAAAGCUAAAUAUUGGUGGGAGACCGAUAGCGCACAAGUAGAGUGAUCGAAAGAUGAAAAGCACUUUGAAAAUAGAGUUAAAAAGUACGUGAAAUUGUUGAAAGGGAAGCGCUUGAGACCAGACUUCGGUAAGGGGUGAUCAGCCGUCCUUCUGGGCGGUGCACUUGCCCCCCUCCGGGCCAGCAUCGGUUGAGGCGGCGGGAUAAAGGUCCCGGGAAUGUGGCUCCUUCACGGGAGUGUUAUAGCCCGGGUGAAUGCCGCCAGCUUCGACCGAGGACCGCACCCGCAAGGGUUAGGAUGCUUGGCAUAAUGGUCUUCAGCGACCCGUCUUGAAACACGGACCAAGGAGUCUAACAUCUAUGCGAGUGUUUGGGUGUCAAACCCUUGCGCGAAAUGAAAGUGAACGGAGGUGGGAACCCGCAAGGGUGCACCAUCGACCGGUCCCGAAGUCUUCUGAAGGAUCUGAGUAGGAGCAUAGCUGUUGGGACCCGAAAGAUGGUGAACUAUGCCUGAAUAGGGUGAAGCCAGAGGAAACUCUGGUGGAGGCUCGCAGCGGUUCUGACGUGCAAAUCGAUCGUCAAAUUUGGGUAUAGGGGCGAAAGACUAAUCG
This 790-nucleotide ribosomal RNA is filed under the name Morchella sp. Its description in RNAcentral is "partial large subunit ribosomal RNA". It matches the Rfam family "Eukaryotic large subunit ribosomal RNA", at positions 134 to 937 of the family's 3401-position model. Lineage: Eukaryota; Fungi; Ascomycota; Pezizomycetes; Pezizales; Morchellaceae. The record is from RNAcentral.